AUUGAACGCUGGCGGCAGGCUUAACACAUGCAAGUCGAGCGGGGUGAUGGUGCUUGCACUAUCACUUAGCGGCGGACGGGUGAGUAAUGCUUAGGAAUCUGCCUAUCAGUGGGGGACAACAUCUCGAAAGGGAUGCUAAUACCGCAUACGUCCUACGGGAGAAAGCAGGGGAUCACUUGUGACCUUGCGCUAAUAGAUGAGCCUAAGUCGGAUUAGCUAGUUGGUGGGGUAAAGGCCUACCAAGGCGACGAUCUGUAGCGGGUCUGAGAGGAUGAGCCGCCACACUGGGACUGAGACACGGCCCAGACUCCUACGGGAGGCAGCAGUGGGGAAUAUUGGACAAUGGGGGGAACCCUGAUCCAGCCAUGCCGCGUGUGUGAAGAAGGCCUUAUGGUUGUAAAGCACUUUAAGCGAGGAGGAGGCUCCUUUGGUUAAUACCCAAGAUGAGUGGACGUUACUCGCAGAAUAAGCACCGGCUAACUCUGUGCCAGCCGCCGCGGUAA
Molecule: ribosomal RNA, 503 nt
Filed under: uncultured bacterium
Lineage: Bacteria
Description: partial 16S ribosomal RNA
Rfam family: Bacterial small subunit ribosomal RNA
Source: RNAcentral